This 329-nucleotide ribosomal RNA is filed under the name uncultured eukaryote. RNAcentral's name for it is "partial 18S ribosomal RNA". It matches the Rfam family "Eukaryotic small subunit ribosomal RNA", at positions 1470 to 1796 of the family's 1831-position model. The record is from RNAcentral.
CCCUUAGAUGUUCUGGGCCGCACGCGCGCUACAAUGAUGAAUUCAACGAGUUUAUAACCUUGGUUGAAAAGCCUGGGUAAUCUUUUGAACUUUCGUCGUGAUGGGGCUAGACCCUUGCAAUUAUUGGUCUCCAACGAGGAAUUCCUAGUAAACGCAAGUCAUCAGCUUGCAUUGAUUACGUCCCUGCCCUUUGUACACACCGCCCGUCGCACCUACCGAUUGAAUGGUCCGGUGAAAUCUUCGGAUUGAGACUUUGAUUUCUUCACGGAAAACGCUGUUUUAAAAAGUUGAUUAAACCUUGCCAUUUAGAGGAAGGUGAAGUCGUAACA